UGGGAUGUCGUCUAAUGGCAGGACUACGGAUUCUGAUUCCGUCUAUUGGGGUUCGAAUCCCUGCAUCCCAGCCA
This 74-nucleotide transfer RNA is filed under the name Desulfoluna butyratoxydans. RNAcentral's name for it is "tRNA-Gln". It matches the Rfam family "tRNA". Rfam says of the family: Transfer RNA (tRNA) molecules are approximately 80 nucleotides in length. Their secondary structure includes four short double-helical elements and three loops (D, anti-codon, and T loops). Further hydrogen bonds mediate the characteristic L-shaped molecular structure. tRNAs have two regions of fundamental functional importance: the anti-codon, which is responsible for specific mRNA codon recognition, and the 3' end, to which the tRNAs corresponding amino acid is attached (by aminoacyl-tRNA synthetases). tRNAs cope with the degeneracy of the genetic code in two manners: having more than one tRNA (with a specific anti-codon) for a particular amino acid; and 'wobble' base-pairing, i.e. permitting non-standard base-pairing at the 3rd anti-codon position. Lineage: Bacteria; Pseudomonadati; Thermodesulfobacteriota; Desulfobacteria; Desulfobacterales; Desulfolunaceae. RNAcentral also lists the same sequence under 4 other names. The record is from RNAcentral.